This 253-nucleotide ribosomal RNA is filed under the name uncultured prokaryote. Its description in RNAcentral is "partial 16S ribosomal RNA". It matches the Rfam family "Bacterial small subunit ribosomal RNA", at positions 525 to 777 of the family's 1533-position model. The record is from RNAcentral.
ACAGAGGUCUCAAGCGUUGUUCGGAAUUACUGGGCGUAAAGCGCGCGUAGGCGGCUUUGUAAGUUAGAGGUGAAAGCCCGGAGCUCAACUCCGGAACUGCCUUUAAGACUGCAUCGCUAGAAUUGUGGAGAGGUGAGUGGAAUUCCGAGUGUAGAGGUGAAAUUCGUAGAUAUUCGGAAGAACACCAGUGGCGAAGGCGACUCACUGGACACAUAUUGACGCUGAGGUGCGAAAGCGUGGGGAGCAAACAGGA